RNAcentral lists this ribosomal RNA (465 nucleotides) under uncultured Klebsiella sp. RNAcentral describes it as "bacterial SSU rRNA". It matches the Rfam family "Bacterial small subunit ribosomal RNA", at positions 338 to 795 of the family's 1533-position model. Lineage: Bacteria; Pseudomonadati; Pseudomonadota; Gammaproteobacteria; Enterobacterales; Enterobacteriaceae. The record is from RNAcentral.
CCUACGGGGGGCUGCAGUGGGGAAUAUUGCACAAUGGGCGCAAGCCUGAUGCAGCCAUGCCCCGUGUGUGAAGAAGGCCUUCGGGUUGUAAAGCACUUUCAGCGGGGAGGAAGGCGGUGAGGUUAAUAACCUCAUCGAUUGACGUUACCCGCAGAAGAAGCACCGGCUAACUCCGUGCCAGCAGCCGCGGUAAUACGGAGGGUGCAAGCGUUAAUCGGAAUUACUGGGCGUAAAGCGCACGCAGGCGGUCUGUCAAGUCGGAUGUGAAAUCCCCGGGCUCAACCUGGGAACUGCAUUCGAAACUGGCAGGCUAGAGUCUUGUAGAGGGGGGUAGAAUUCCAGGUGUGGCGGUGAAAUGCGUAGAGAUCUGGAGGAAUACCGGUGGCGAAGGCGGCCCCCUGGACAAAGACUGACGCUCAGGUGCGAAAGCGUGGGGAGCAAACAGGAUUAGAUACCCCAGUAGUC